Ciona intestinalis (vase tunicate) is the source of this 593-nucleotide non-coding RNA. Lineage: Eukaryota; Metazoa; Chordata; Ascidiacea; Phlebobranchia; Cionidae. The record is from RefSeq and is a predicted model, not a curated record.
AGAGUUAACCUGGUAAAAGAUGUUCUCAGCUGGCGUGUUGGCAAAUGCCUGAGUACUAUGGUGGGAGCGCAGGGGACAUCAGAAUUUAUUCUCAUGUUUGCGAAUUGGUUUGAUAUUGUGAACUGUAAUGCAUCGUUCACUAUACGUGAUCCUAAAGACAGCAGACUUUUAUGGUUGCAAGAUAACUUUGGGAAAUGUUUGAUUGAUUGGACGGUUGAUGUCAAAACGCACCAUCUUGGGGAGGGUAAAAUGCUUAUUGCAAAACCUACGUUAGAGGGUCUUAUAUUUACCACACAAAAUUUCAUUUCUUUAACAAAGUCAAGUAGUUCGUUAAUUGGUAUAUGUAUGCUUGCAUUCUUUUACUCAAGAUGUACUUGAAGCAUUCUUUGGAAACUUGCGUCAAAUCGGUCGAAGAUUUAGAAACCCUGAUGUUUCACAGGCUGCAUAUGGAAUGUAGCAUAUUACUGUUCGGAAGGUGAUAAAAAAGUCAAGGGUUUAAAUGGUAGCACAACUUUUGGCAAAGAAAAUGCAUGGACAGAAGUUAGUGAUAUUCCACUUCCAAAACGCCGAAGAAAAUAAAAAUGCAAAUUGGU